This 75-nucleotide transfer RNA is filed under the name Acidobacteriota bacterium. RNAcentral describes it as "tRNA-Val". It matches the Rfam family "tRNA". From Rfam's summary of the family: Transfer RNA (tRNA) molecules are approximately 80 nucleotides in length. Their secondary structure includes four short double-helical elements and three loops (D, anti-codon, and T loops). Further hydrogen bonds mediate the characteristic L-shaped molecular structure. tRNAs have two regions of fundamental functional importance: the anti-codon, which is responsible for specific mRNA codon recognition, and the 3' end, to which the tRNAs corresponding amino acid is attached (by aminoacyl-tRNA synthetases). tRNAs cope with the degeneracy of the genetic code in two manners: having more than one tRNA (with a specific anti-codon) for a particular amino acid; and 'wobble' base-pairing, i.e. permitting non-standard base-pairing at the 3rd anti-codon position. The record is from RNAcentral. Lineage: Bacteria; Pseudomonadati; Acidobacteriota.
GCCCGCUUAGCUCAGUGGUAGAGCACACGCUUCACACGCGUGUGGCCGUAGGUUCGAGUCCUACAGCGGGCACCA